Molecule: long non-coding RNA, 1079 nt
Filed under: Pan troglodytes (chimpanzee)
Lineage: Eukaryota; Metazoa; Chordata; Mammalia; Primates; Hominidae
Description: long non-coding RNA NONPTRT001971
Source: RNAcentral
GGCCAGCGUGCUGCUGAGCCCCGCAGGCGGGGCUCCUUUCAGCCUGGGUCCCGAAGCUGAAGCUGGGAUGGAAGACCAUGGUGGCCUCUGCCCCAGGACGUGAUGACCUGGAGCUGACGGUCCCGAAGCUUUCCCUGACCAUCAUCCUCAUUGCUGACCACACCCUGCCCGGACCUGACCCACCAACGGUCCCACCCACCCAGGAUUCCACCACUCAGGUCCCCAUCAUCAGGAAGCCCAAUGAGGGUGCUGAGGGGACGUCCAGAGCGCGUGGACAGGGCCUCCGGGCAGAAGUGUGGUGCUGAGGACGUGUGGCCACCUUCCUGGGGUGCAGCUGGAGCAGCUCCUGAUACAGCUGUGGGGCGGAGGGCUUACCUAACGUCUAAGUACACCCUACUCCACGAGAACCAGCAGGUCCUGCUGUCAGGGAACAACCCCUGAUCGAGGGUUGGCCAACCUGGCUUGACUCUGUGCGAGGCAUGUCCUUGGGGCCAAGGUCGGGGGUAGGGGAUGUGGGCUGUCCCUGGGGUGGGUGAGGGCAGGGAGGCAUGAGGUUUGUGGAGGGGCCAUAGGGGCGAGAUCAGCAAGGUGGCAGGAAAUGGGAUGAGGUGUGAGCAUGAGACAGACCUGGAGGACACCUGGGGAGCAGAGUGAGGCUGUCAGUGCUGCGGGGAGGACCCUGGCAUCACUGCCCGCUUCAGCCUUGCCCUUUGUGCCGGCCUCGCCCCUCCCAUUUAUUCCCCUAGGUCUCCCAGCAGCAGUGUUUUUAUGAGUUUCUUUAUGGUGAUUGGCACAGACACGGGGACCUAGAGCUGCGUGCCCCCACCCCCGCCAAGGCCUCCCGAGGGCUUUCGCCAUCCUGACUCCGCGUGCAGGGCACUAAAGAGGCCCUUUGCAAGUUAGAGUGCAGGGAAGCACCUGAGGCAGCUGCAGGUCCCAGGUGCUGGGCUCCGGCACAAACAGCCUGGUGGAUGGGUCUGUGGCCUUUUCUGGAAAUCUUUUCCUCUCACUCUCCUGGUCUCCCACAUAGAGGUCUAAAAACCUGAGUCACCCUGUCCUGAACUGGUUCUCUGGCAAAU